UGUUGCAGAGGGGAUUAUUAUAUUUUUAUUCCAGAGUCAAUGUAGCCUUUGUAUUUUUUCCCUGCAAUGCCCAAGCUGACCCCAAAUGCAUUUCUCUAGACACAUUUCCCCACCGUGGAAGAGGUGAUGGAGUUUUACCUGGAGAUCGACCCUGUCACCCUGAACCUCAUCAUCCUAGUUGCAAGCUACAUCAUCUUACUGUUGGUGUUCCUCAUCUCCUGCGUGCUGUAUGACUGCCGAGGCAAAGAUCCCAGCAAAGAGUAUGCACCCGAGACCACACUGAAUGCCCAGCCUUCCAUCCGAGUGGUGGUGACACAGCACAGCGCUCAUGGAUCAUGGACCAGGGGACCCAGCCUUCACUUUAAGGAUCCUGCACCACUAGGGAAGAAAAGCACUGUGGUAUGAGUCUGGAUAAGGGACGUUGGGGAGAGACCAACAAAUGCAACAGAAAACAGCUGUCCCUGUUGUGGCUCUAGUUCUCCCCCAAUGCAGAUCCUGACUAGAUGACGAAACCAAGGCUCUGUCCUACUGUCUGCUUCUGGUCAAUCCCUUGGUGAACAAAGCAACUGUUUAAGUAAUGAAACCGACUGGCCCCAAAUCACACAUCUAAUAAGAGAAGUCUCCCAAAUAGAGCAUCCAACAAACCUCAUUGUUCUUCUUGCCUGCUCUGAUCCGUUCCCACAGGAAUCCAUCUUCAGGGACAUCUCCUAGCCUCAGAAUGUGGGAGGAGACUAGAGAAAACACUGUAUUGAAAGCACAGCUGUCAUAGGUCAUCCUACACCCAGUUCCAGAACAGUUAUGCAAAAGAAAGAUGAAACUAGGAGUGUCUGAAUUCUAUUGGAACAAUGUGUAAAUCUGUAAAGAUAGAUGGUGACACUGUUGCAAAAAAAAAAAAUCUCACAACACGGGGACCUAAACUCUGUACAAUAUGAAGUAGAAUAAAUCUCCUAUCAAAUUGGCAAUAUUUUCAGUGUUCCUACUACUCUGCUUUUGCAAAUGAUCACGGUAGAUGCUAGGGUGUCCACAGUGUCUUUCCAAAGAGGAAUUUAGAAUUCAGUACACAA
Mesocricetus auratus (golden hamster) is the source of this 1064-nucleotide long non-coding RNA. RefSeq lists it as uncharacterized. The record is from RefSeq and is a predicted model, not a curated record. Lineage: Eukaryota; Metazoa; Chordata; Mammalia; Rodentia; Cricetidae. The transcript has 3 exons.